Molecule: small nucleolar RNA, 91 nt
Organism: Caenorhabditis elegans
Lineage: Eukaryota; Metazoa; Nematoda; Chromadorea; Rhabditida; Rhabditidae
Source: Ensembl
GACCAGAUGCAUUUGCGUCCGGUCCGGUCAAAACCGGACGACCGAACCCCAAUUAUGCCAGCCCUACUGUGCACACGGCGGCUCACAAUCA